Molecule: small nucleolar RNA, 75 nt
Organism: Pleuronectes platessa (European plaice)
Lineage: Eukaryota; Metazoa; Chordata; Actinopteri; Pleuronectiformes; Pleuronectidae
Product: small nucleolar RNA SNORD50
Exons: 1
Source: RefSeq, a predicted model, not a curated record
UGACAGUGAUGUCAUUAUCCCGAAGCUGAACAUUUUCUGAUUGAAAAAACCUUUAUUGGAUCUGAUUGCUGAGUU